Molecule: ribosomal RNA, 255 nt
Filed under: uncultured bacterium
Lineage: Bacteria
Description: partial 16S ribosomal RNA
Rfam family: Bacterial small subunit ribosomal RNA
Source: RNAcentral
GCAAGUCGAGCGAAGUUAUUUUAAAGCUUGCUUUAAAAUAACUUAGCGGCGGACGGGUGAGUAACGCGUGGGCAACCUACCCUAUACAGAGGGAUAGCCUCGGGAAACCGGGAUUAAUACCUCAUAAAACUCUAGUAUCGCAUGAUACAUGAGUCAAAGAUUUAUCAGUAUAGGAUGGGCCCGCGUCUGAUUAGCUAGUUGGUAAGGUAAUGGCUUACCAAGGCGACGAUCAGUAGCCGACCUGAGAGGGUGAUC